Molecule: long non-coding RNA, 956 nt
Organism: Passer domesticus (house sparrow)
Lineage: Eukaryota; Metazoa; Chordata; Aves; Passeriformes; Passeridae
Exons: 4
Source: RefSeq, a predicted model, not a curated record
AAAAAAUACCCGAGGGGUAGUUAUUGGUUCGAGACAUCUGUGUCCCUUUCAGAGCCAGAAGUUCUGCAGUCACCUGCAGAGGUAGAUGAUGUUGGCUUACUGAGUCUAUGAAGCAAGGGAAGAAAUUUAAAAAGGAGAUUCAACAGCACUUAACUGGUGCCAAGUGGCUGUUUGUACCUAGUGAGGUGUUUGAUGGUUAAGUGGAAAGAACAGGUAAAUUGAAUGCACCAGAUCAUUUUCCUAUGAAUAUAUGCUUCUGUAAUAUGACAUGGAGAAGUCUGAGUUAUGGGAUGAUAUGAGUGCAUGGGAAACUGCUUUUGGCAAUAUAUGCUGUUAAGAAGAGGACUUGAAGAAAACAGUUAGGGAUGGCUCCCCAGAUCAACAUACCUGUGGAUGUCAUUCUUCAGUGGAUCACACAACUCUGUUCAAGACACACACGUAUUUCUUCACUGAGCAGAAUAUGUCUAAAAGCCAAGCACUGCCACACUUGCUUGUCAAGGAUUUAGCUAGAAAGGACUUAAUAACAUGACUGCACAAUGUUGUAAAAAAAAAAAAUCCCAAACAGCAGGAGACCUGAUAGCCUUUUUUUUUUUGCCAUUUCUGCUUUUUUACAAUGUGCUUUCCACAAGCAUUGUUUUUCAAUUGAAUGCUAAGUAUUUAUUAAUAAGACAAUCUUUCCUGCUUUUUGCCUCUUUAUGUGGCAUUUAAUCAUAUAUUCAUGCAUGUUUAUACAUAUAGUAGCUAGUAAUGGUACUUGAUGAAAAAUUCUUGAAUUAGCAAAGACAAGGUGAAACCUGUGAACCUUGACAGAAGAGCAGUGGUGGGAAUGUUCUAGUAUAACUGAGUUUGUUCUUGUAUAAUGGAGAAAAAAGCAUUUGGAAGACAAGGAAAUAAAGUAGUUUGGUUUUUUGGUUUUUUUUCACUGAUAUGAAAAUAUAAAUGAAUAGGUAAAUAUA